RNAcentral lists this ribosomal RNA (434 nucleotides) under uncultured Lachnospiraceae bacterium. RNAcentral's name for it is "partial 16S ribosomal RNA". It matches the Rfam family "Bacterial small subunit ribosomal RNA", at positions 341 to 792 of the family's 1533-position model. The record is from RNAcentral. Lineage: Bacteria; Bacillati; Bacillota; Clostridia; Lachnospirales; Lachnospiraceae.
ACGGGAGGCAGCAGUGGGGAAUAUUGCACAAUGGGGGAAACCCUGAUGCAGCGACGCCGCGUGAGUGAAGAAAUAUUUCGGUAUGUAAAGCUCUAUCAGCAGGGAAGAAAAUGACGGUACCUGACUAAGAAGCACCGGCUAAAUACGUGCCAGCAGCCGCGGUAAUACGUAUGGUGCAAGCGUUAUUCGGAUUUACUGGGUGUAAAGGGAGCGUAGACGGCAUGGCAAGUCUGAAGUGAAAUGCGGGGGCUCAACCCCUGAACUGCUUUGGAAACUGUCAAGCUAGAGUGUCGGAGAGGUAAGUGGAAUUCCUAGUGUAGCGGUGAAAUGCGUAGAUAUUAGGAGGAACACCAGUGGCGAAGGCGGCUUACUGGACGAUAACUGACGUUGAGGCUCGAAAGCGUGGGGAGCAAACAGGAUUAGAUACCCUGGUA